Molecule: ribosomal RNA, 499 nt
Filed under: uncultured bacterium
Lineage: Bacteria
Description: partial 16S ribosomal RNA
Rfam family: Bacterial small subunit ribosomal RNA
Source: RNAcentral
GACGAACGCUGGCGGCGUGCUUAACACAUGCAAGUCGAACGGGCCUGUCUUCUUUUUUGGGGGUGGGUUGAGUGGCGAACGGGUGAGUAUCACGUGAGUAACCUGCCCUUCGGUCCUGGAUAACCGCUUGAAAGGGCGGCUAAUACGGGGUGGUCCGGUUGGUCCGCAUGGGCUGGUCGGGAUAGAUUCACUGUUUUUGGUGUUUCGGCGGGGGAUGGGCUCGCGGCCUAUCAGCUUGUUGGUGGGGUGAUGGCCUACCAAGGCGGUGACGGGUAGCCGGCCUGAGAGGGUGGGCGGCCACACUGGGACUGAGAUACGGCCCAGACUCCUGCGGGAGGCAGCAGUGGGGGGUAUUGCACAAGGGGCGGAAGCCUGAUGCAGCGACGUCGCGUGAGGGAUGGAGGCCUUCGGGUUGUGAACCUCUGUUUCCGGUGGUGAAGGCCCUGUCCGUGUGGUGGGGUUGACGGUAGCCGGGGAUGAAGCGCCGGCUAACUACGUG